RNAcentral lists this ribosomal RNA (468 nucleotides) under uncultured bacterium. RNAcentral describes it as "partial 16S ribosomal RNA". It matches the Rfam family "Bacterial small subunit ribosomal RNA", at positions 28 to 507 of the family's 1533-position model. The record is from RNAcentral.
GACGAACGCUGGCGGCGUGCUUAUCACAUGCAAGUCGAACGGUGAAGCUCCAGCUUGCUGGAGUGGAUCAGUGGCGAACGGGUGAGUAACACGUGAGCAACCUGCCCCUGACUCUGGAAUAAGCGCUGGAAACGGCGUCUAAUACUGGAUACGAGAAGGGUCCGCAUGGGCACUUUCUGGAAAGUUCUUCGGUUGGGGAUGGGCUCGCGGCCUAUCAGCUUGUUGGUGAGGUAAUGGCUCACCAAGGCGACGACGGGUAGCCGGCCUGAGAGGGCGACCGGCCACACUGGGACUGAGACACGGCCCAGACUCCUACGGGAGGCAGCAGUGGGGAAUAUUGCACAAUGGGCGAAAGCCUGAUGCAGCGACGCCGCGUGAGGGAUGACGGCCUUCGGGUUGUAAACCUCUUUCAGCAGGGAAGAAGCGAAAGUGACGGUACCUGCAGAAGAAGCACCGGCUAACUACGUG